AGUAUGGCUCAGUUGGUAGAGCAGCGCAUUCGUAAUGCACAGGUCGUCGGUUCGAGUCCGACUACU
Molecule: transfer RNA, 66 nt
Filed under: bovine gut metagenome
Rfam family: tRNA
About the family: Transfer RNA (tRNA) molecules are approximately 80 nucleotides in length. Their secondary structure includes four short double-helical elements and three loops (D, anti-codon, and T loops). Further hydrogen bonds mediate the characteristic L-shaped molecular structure. tRNAs have two regions of fundamental functional importance: the anti-codon, which is responsible for specific mRNA codon recognition, and the 3' end, to which the tRNAs corresponding amino acid is attached (by aminoacyl-tRNA synthetases). tRNAs cope with the degeneracy of the genetic code in two manners: having more than one tRNA (with a specific anti-codon) for a particular amino acid; and 'wobble' base-pairing, i.e. permitting non-standard base-pairing at the 3rd anti-codon position.
Source: RNAcentral